RNAcentral lists this non-coding RNA (27 nucleotides) under Homo sapiens (human). Lineage: Eukaryota; Metazoa; Chordata; Mammalia; Primates; Hominidae. The record is from RNAcentral.
AGCUCAGCACUCACACUUGCCCAAUGC